GGCUUCAGCUCCCAGACAAAUGAGCCAACAAGGGAGUGAGGGAGCCAGUAGCUGGAGGCACUGGGCAGCCCUGAAAGCAGAAAAACAAAGCCUUUCUUUUGCACCCACUUUCCCAAUGAUUAAAGAAUAUUGAUCCACCUCCUUUCUUUUGCAGGUUCUUCAGUUUGUUAAAGGGUGAUGCCUGCUACUAAGGACUCCAACUGAGGCCUGCCUGGGCAUAAGUGGGGCCACUUGGGCCCACAACAGCAUGCUCUGUCAGGGGCAUUUGGUGACCAGAAAGAGAAGCUGUUCUUUGAAUGGGUCGCCCACUGCAGACUUGACAACACAGCCUUGUGCUGAACUCAGUUCAAUUUGUUCCUCUUUUUUCUAUUAUCAAUGUGUGUUAGAGUCUUAAACAAGUCAAAAUAACACCUGGCAUUUUGCCAGGGGAAUGUUAGAGUUCGUCAACAAGUCUGGAUGGUGCCUGGCAAAAUGCCAGAGGGAGUGGUUUGAGAAGUAACAAAAGGGAGCCAUUAAGUGUGGAGAUUCCUUAUUGGUUGACUGAUGUAUCUAGUUUAUGUUAAUUAGAUAAGCUGUGUGGAAUGUAUAAAUACCGCUCCUGUCCUGCAAUAAACGGCUUCCACUCCUGCUGUAUCAAUCUACACAAGUUGUUGGUCACCCCCCCCCCCGCCCCCCGGUUAUUUUGCUGCAGCCGGACUGCGGCAAAUGUGCUUUGGUGAAGCAGUCCAGAGACCCCCACCCAGAAGACUCUUACCAUAAUUAAGCAGAAACCCACAUCAUAUUUGUCACAUGUAAGUCUCUCUUCUUAUCAGAGAGCUUUUUGCAUAGCGCAUUAGCUAUCUGCAAAAAUCUGCAGAAGGCUUGUAAUUUCCUCUUUUUGUUAAUUGCCAGUUUUGCAGGAAAACAAACACACUUGUGAAACCUCUAUUUAGAGGAUGGAAAGAAAAGCACUUGCUAUUGUAAAGGUUAAAUUUAAGUUUUGCUUUUCUGUAAGUUUAAGUUCUGUUUUCCUGGAACCCGAAACUUAUGUUAAAAACAGUUACUUAUGUCAAAAUGUACCCUGACCCAACACCCCCUGACAAAACGCAUGAUUAUUCUGUAAUGGUUAUUUUGUAACAAUCCCACCCUCACACCCUAACUGCCAUAAGAACUUCCCUGUUUAAACACUGCAUAAAAACUCUGCUUAAGCUGUGCUCAGGGCUCCAGCUUCUCUCAGGAGAGCUCUGAGCCCCAGCAUGCUGGUCCAAUAAAC
RNAcentral lists this long non-coding RNA (1252 nucleotides) under Marmota monax (woodchuck). Lineage: Eukaryota; Metazoa; Chordata; Mammalia; Rodentia; Sciuridae. The record is from RNAcentral.